This 76-nucleotide transfer RNA is filed under the name Candidatus Erwinia haradaeae. Its description in RNAcentral is "transfer RNA Alanine". It matches the Rfam family "tRNA". From Rfam's summary of the family: Transfer RNA (tRNA) molecules are approximately 80 nucleotides in length. Their secondary structure includes four short double-helical elements and three loops (D, anti-codon, and T loops). The record is from RNAcentral. Lineage: Bacteria; Pseudomonadati; Pseudomonadota; Gammaproteobacteria; Enterobacterales; Erwiniaceae.
GGGGGUAUAGCUCAGUUGGGAGAGCGCUUGCAUGGCAUGCAAGAGGUCAGCGGUUCAAUCCCGCUUACCUCCACCA